Molecule: non-coding RNA, 121 nt
Organism: Picea glauca (white spruce)
Lineage: Eukaryota; Viridiplantae; Streptophyta; Pinopsida; Pinales; Pinaceae
Source: Rfam
ACAUGCCUACAUCAUAGCGUUAAUGCAUCAUAUCCCAUUAAAACUCCACAGUUAAGCACACUUGAGCUAGAGUAGUACUGUGAUGGGUGACCUCCCGGGAAGUCUUAGUAUUUUACAUUCC